Molecule: ribosomal RNA, 497 nt
Filed under: uncultured bacterium
Lineage: Bacteria
Description: partial 16S ribosomal RNA
Rfam family: Bacterial small subunit ribosomal RNA
Source: RNAcentral
GAUGAACGCUGGCGGCGUGCCUAAUACAUGCAAGUCGAGCGAACAGACGAGGAGCUUGCUCCUCUGACGUUAGCGGCGGACGGGUGAGUAACACGUGGAUAACCUACCUAUAAGACUGGGAUAACUUCGGGAAACCGGAGCUAAUACCGGAUAAUAUAUUGAACCGCAUGGUUCAAUAGUGAAAGACGGUUUUGCUGUCACUUAUAGAUGGAUCCGCGCCGCAUUAGCUAGUUGGUAAGGUAACGGCUUACCAAGGCGACGAUGCGUAGCCGACCUGAGAGGGUGAUCGGCCACACUGGAACUGAGACACGGUCCCGACUCCUACGGGAGGCAGCAGUAGGGAAUCUUCCGCAAUGGGCGAAAGCUUGACGGAGCAACGCCGCGUGAGUGAUGAAGGUCUUCGGAUCGUAAAACUCUGUUAUUAGGGAAGAACAAAUGUGUAAGUAACUAUGCACGUCUUGACGGUACCUAAUCAGAAAGCCACGGCUAACUACGUG